UCACAUUUUGCAAUUUGAAUUUAUGUCUCUGUGCUCUGAUUGGCUGAUUGACGGAAGUGGGGAUGCAUUCCCGCAUUUCCCUUCAUGCAAUUUACCAACAACACCACUCCAUUACUAUUUUACUUACUAGUGGUGAACAAGGUAUUUUUUUGUGAGUGCUACGUUCUUGAGGUUAAUUUACCAAUCGUGGUGUAUAUUUCCUUUUAGUUAGCUGGGGCGCAGCCCCAGCCUCCUGCCACGAACUGUACGGCACCCUAGCUCCAUAAAAAACACUAUUCCACGUGUCGAGUUCCACGUUUUCGAGUUUAAUUGGUCGUGGGGUAUGUUUCCUUUUAGUUAACUGGGGCGAAGCCCCAGCCACGCGCAACAUAGUUCCAUAAAAACCACUAUUCCACGUUUCGAGUUCCACGGUUUCGAGUUUAAUUGUUCGUGGGGUAUGUUUAUUUUUAGUUUGCUGGGGCGAAGCCCCAGCCUGUACCCUACGACCUGUACGCGCUGUAGCUCCAUAAAAAUCACUAUUCCACGUUUCGAGUUCAACAUUUUCGAGUUUAAUCGUCCGUGGGGUAUGUUUAUUUUUAGGUCGCUGGGGCGAAGCCCCAGCCUGUGGGCUAUCAUCUGUAGGCGCCAUUUACAGAAUGGAAAUGCUCCAUAAGAAAAAAGGCUCGAGAAAAUAAAUCAUUAAAUGAUGAAUGAAAAAAUGAAAAAAAUGAAAAUGAAAAACGAUUGUUAAAGUUAACUGGAAACGAGGCUGUGGAGGGGUUAACAGGCGUUGAAGAAAUUGGAAUUGGAUUUGCCGAUGCAAGAAAUGAAGAAAUAAAUGAAGUAAGGGAUGACGGAACAUAUGAAGUAAGGGAUGAAGAAACAAAUGAAGAAGAAAUUCUUAUCAGUAUAGAAAAUGAGGAUAAUGAUGUUCAAGGUCACACAAGAAGGCCUACAGCUAGAAUUAAGAAGCGCACUAGAAAAACAUCUAGUGAUGCGUUACUGAAGUCCUAUAUACAAGCCACAAAAAGCCAAUUUGAAGGGCUUGAAAAAAUAAGUGAUGCAUUAGAAGACAUUGCUAGAGCAAUUAAUCGGUUCUGUGACAUCACAGAAUCUAAAAAAUAAUAAUUUUUAUUUGUGUGUUCAUUUAUUCUCAAGAAUUAUAAUUUGAGUUAUUUAAUUACUAUUUCUUACUAUUCUUGGAUAUUUUGAGGUUGUGUUACACAUGAGCAGUUUGAACUAUAUUUAACUUUUUUACAAAAGAAAGAAAAAAUUUUUUUUACAUUAUGUGAAAAUUUAAAUAAAAUAACUAAUGCUGGAAGAAAAACUGUGCAACAGUGGCGUAAAACAUUUGAUAACUGGGUUAGAUAUGUUAAACGAAAAGUCAGAAAGAUAUUUGUCUACCGAUAUAUCACUGGUGGUGGUGGCGCUUUGUACGUUGUGCUGACGAAUUUGGAAGAAAGACUACGUCAUGUGCUGGGAAAUGUAAAUGUAAAUGGUUUUAAAAAUGUAAUCGAGUUGGGUUUAUGUGAAAGGAAAACAAAACUAAAGAAAAAGAUAUCUACUGAAAUUGGGUACAAAUGCAAACAACGGAACCGCCAUAAGUAUCGUCUUACAAAAAAACAAAAAGAAGCUGAAAAAAUGUAUUUAAACUAUUCCAAAUGUUUAACAAAUGCUACUUUUAAAAUUCUUAACGCCGUCAAACAUGUGAACCAAUCUCUUCAACGUUUAAUAAAUAUAUAUUCUUAAAAAUA
Molecule: long non-coding RNA, 1733 nt
Organism: Tribolium castaneum (red flour beetle)
Lineage: Eukaryota; Metazoa; Arthropoda; Insecta; Coleoptera; Tenebrionidae
Exons: 6
Source: RefSeq, a predicted model, not a curated record